This 46-nucleotide non-coding RNA is filed under the name Schistosoma margrebowiei. The record is from RNAcentral. Lineage: Eukaryota; Metazoa; Platyhelminthes; Trematoda; Strigeidida; Schistosomatidae.
GCACUUCUGAAGAGUCCCACAAUAGAACGAAACAGCCGUCUAGUAC